UAAAGUGUUGAAAUGCAUAGCUUAUUUGUUACAGCAGCUAGCCCAGCCUAAAGAACACAGGAGCCACUUGGAAAUUAGGAAAGUCCUGUUCUCCAGAUCACCCCUAUCUUCUCAGCAUAGAGACAUCCCCAAGGAAUUUUUUUUUAAAUCUGAGAAGCCAGCGUGGCCUCCUGCCUGCCACCUCUUGACGCUUACUUUAGAAGCAGUUGUGAUAGGUACAUUCCUGAGCUUGCCAGGACCAACCCUGCCUGUGCUUUUCCUGCAUGUCUAAAAAUUCUCCACCUGGAAUAACCAGCUGCAUGAGGUUCAUCAUCAACAGAAUAGAAGCUGAAUGUGUAACUUCACCAAUAGAGAAGAAAAAUAGGAUGAAACAAUACUUCAUAUGAAAGAAAGUAAGAAGGGAAAUGGAACAUAUAAGAGGUGCGCACUUGUGCCAGGUGGAGGUUCCCAGUCUAGCGGUCAAAUUGAAGAUUCAGUCAC
Molecule: non-coding RNA, 480 nt
Organism: Sus scrofa (pig)
Lineage: Eukaryota; Metazoa; Chordata; Mammalia; Artiodactyla; Suidae
Source: RefSeq, a predicted model, not a curated record